AAUAUGGGCAAAUGGGGUAAAGCGUAAUCCAGCAAUCCCGCGUAUGGAAAGAGCCCUGAGGUUUUUAAAGCAUUUUCAAUUGUGAAGAAAUAUUUAAGGUUAAUAACUUUAAUUUUUGACGUUAAUAUUAGAAGAAGCACCGGCUAAUUCCGUGCCAGCAGCCGCGGUAAUACGGAGGGUGCAAGCUUUUAUCGAAAUUACUGGGCGUAAAGCGCGGUAGGGGCUUUUAAGUCAGAUGUGAAAGCCCCGGGUUUAACUGGGAAGUGCAUUGAUACUGGGAGGCUAGAGUAUAGUAGAGGCAGGUGAAUUUCCUGUGAGAGGUGAAAUUGUAGAUAUCAAAGGACACCAGUGGGAAGGCGGCUUUCGGACAAUAUGACAGUGAGGGCGAAAGCGGGGAGCAAACAGAAUUAGAUAUCCCGUUAGUCUCCGCCCUA
RNAcentral lists this ribosomal RNA (434 nucleotides) under uncultured marine bacterium. Its description in RNAcentral is "bacterial SSU rRNA". It matches the Rfam family "Bacterial small subunit ribosomal RNA", at positions 360 to 804 of the family's 1533-position model. The record is from RNAcentral.